UUCUGGUGUGUCUGAAGACAACUACAAUAUACUCACAUAAAUAAAUCUUUAAAAAAAAUUAGAAACAGCAUGAGUCCAGGAGUCGAGGGUGUGUCUAUGUCUCACAAAAUGUUAAAUGCUGGGACCUUCAGGACAGCUCUUAAGGAUGUAGGAUAUAUGAGUUCGAAAAUACAUAAUUUCUCAACUAUGUAAAAUAUAAGGAUGCAAUAGGAAUAGUAUAAAGAGUUUCACAAUCUAAAGGAACAGAGGCAGCUGCACUAUGAUCCAGUGUGUCAGGAAGAUACUAAGGAAGAAGAGAAAGAUUUAGGGAGUAGUGAUUACAGGGUAAGAUCCCACCCAGCUGAGUUUUUGUUUGUGUUUACAAAGACAGGCAGAUUUUUGAGUUCAAGAUCAGCCUAGGACAGAGGGAGUUUAGGUCCAGGUCCAGGGGUGGUAGAAAUUACCAUUUCAGGGCAGGACCCCACACAGCCAGCUUAUUGUCUGUGCUUAACAAAGGUAGGCAGUUCUCUGAAUUCUCUUGCAAUGUUAAGAAAAUGUAUUUGCUGUCUCUAAGAAUCAAGGGGCUGGGCUCAUGGGAUCUUGGGAUAAUUAAAAGGGAAGCUGGGGUGGAUUAAAUUAUUAUAUAAAUAAAAGACUGGGUUUUUGAUUUGCAAAGGAUGAGCUAGCCAGGAAGUUUUUAGAAUAGCAAGAGAAAGCUGUCUCAAGCAGAACAUAGGCCAUCAGCUUGUAACCCAUCAUGAUUUGACUUUGCAUUGUUUGUUUCACUGUUCCUUGUCUCAGGAACCCUCUCCAAGCUGUGGUUGGUCCUUGGCAACAUGUACUAUGGAUGGCUCCCCCACUGCUGGAUUACAGAAUCCAGACUCCUAAGGGACCAGGGUUCGAUUCCCAGCACCUACAAAGAGGUUCACAACUGUCUGUAACUCCAGUUCAGGGGAUCCAAUGCUCUCUUCUGACCGUCAAGGGCAACAGACAUGUGAGUAGUGUACAGAUAAAGGUACAGGGAAACACACACACAUAAAAUAAAAAUCAACAAAUCUAAAACAGAUAGAUCUUAACUACAUUACCUUAAGGAACAUUAUUAUAAACAAACUCUUACCUUUGAGAGAUAAUCCUAACAGAGAUACAAAGAACCACACCUUUGUCCCUAAUGCCUAUAACUAUGCUGUUUGAAGGCAGUGCCCUGAAAAUCCCCAGAGCCCUCACUCACAUCAAUAACCAGAGUGGACUGAAGCAGAAAGGAUAUUAGUGAUACGGGUGGAACGUGGUCUCUCAUCUGGUCGAUAGGGAGGAUCCCAUUGCAAAUCAUCUCUGCUUUGGUGGACACGAAAGAUGGCAUCACCAGGCCCGGGCAGUCACACAGGCAGAGGCCAGGCUCCACGUACAGGGUCUGAAAGUCACACAGCAGGUUAUGACGGCACAUGGCAAGUGGAAGGAAGAGGAGUGCUGGGACGAACAACGGGGACAUACCUGGAAAUGCUUGGUGUGGCCUGGCGUGGCAGACACCGAUACUUUCUUGUUGCCCAUGAUGGUGUUGAUGGUUGAGCUCUUACCAACAUUAGGGUAGCCCACCUAGAAGAGAACCACAGGUCACCUGAGUGUUGGAGAUGCUAGGUAAGUGCCUGGCUGAUCUGAAAGACUAUUUAACAGAUGCUCUGUAUGUCUGUCUUUUAUUUCUUGGCUUUUAGACUUAGCCUCCUACCUGACAUGUGGUGCAGCUAUGUGGCGCAGACAUGGCUGCUGGCCCUGUAGCAAACCCCACCUCAUGCCCAGCGCCUCCCUAGGAGGUGUGUCACUGUUUCCACUGCAUUGUCAACAAGGGGGUGUAGCCAACACCAGACCAACAACCCUAACUUCCCAGCAUCUAUAAUCGGCAGUGCUUUUUAGUCAGGACUCAGUGGGAUGGGGCAGAUGAUUUCUGCAGAACACUUAAGACACUCUCUAGAUGCCCAGAGUGAGGAAUGCAGAAAGCAAGGGAGGCUACUUUAUUUCUAGAAAUCAAAGACACAGAUAGAGAAACCAGGUUUUCCAAUACACACGAAAAGUACUUUCUGGAACAGAGAAUAUAGCCUUAAAUCUCAGAGAAAUUAAGAAACUUUCAUGUUAAGGUUAGUUGAGUGUGGAAUUAAGAAUUACACCACGGGGGCUGGUGAGAUGGCUCAGCAGGUAAGAGCACCCGACUGCUCUUCCGAAGGUCCAGAGUUCAAAUCCCAGCAACCACAUGGUGGCUCACAACCAUCUGUAAUGAGAUCUGACUCCCCCUUCUGGAGUGUCUGAAGAGAGCUACAGUGUACUUACAUAUAAUAAUAAAUAAAUAAUAAAUAAAUCUUAAAAAAAAAAAAAAAAGAAUUAUGCCACGCCUAUCUAACCCUGGAGGCAGACCUUUAGCCAGUACCCUACAGUGAAAUGCCAUUUUACUUCAGCAUUUUUUAAAAAUUACUCUCACUAUGGGUGUGUUCACUUCUGUGUGUGCAGCACCUGCAGGCAGUGCUCACGGAGGCCAGAAGAGGGCCAGAUCCCUGUGAGCUGCCACAUGGACCUUUUCACCUCUGUGAAAGUAGCCAGCGCUCUCUCAAUUGCUGAGGCAUCUCUCUAGCCCCUACAUUGUAAGUGGCCUUCUGCUGCUUUAGGUGGUGGAUGGAACACAGGAGAGAGAGCUAAACACAGGAUCUACACCUCACACUAACUGAAGAGCUGAGAGACCCGACCUGCUACAGCCUCUCUCUACCUUGUUUUGCUUCUCUGGAAUGAGCUUUCUUAUAUAUGCUGUCCCUGACAGCCUCCACGUCCUUAGCUAAGGACGAGCCACGUAGAGCCGGGCUGUAUCCUUUACAAUUAGGCCAUAUAGCUGCGAUAGCAGCUACCCUUUCCAUUUUUGUUAUCUUUAUACAAUAAAAGUAUCUGUCAUAGUUUGUCUGGCCAAGGCUGGGAUUCUCCCUAACUAACGGCAUCUGAAACAGCAUAAGCUGGCAAGGAUGCCAGGAUGUCUACAGAACACCGCACUGAAGUCUGGCAAUGUCAAAACCUGUCUCAUUCUCACCUCUCAGCAACGGAUGUGACAAAGACCUGAACUGGAAGGAGUCUAUAGAACACAUUUAAUAUAAACAUGUGUGGUGACAAUAUAACCCUGAGAUGUUCCCUUUGAGUCAGACCCUGCCCCUCCACUGCCUCACCCCAUGAUACCUUCCCUGUGUCUUCCCUGUGGUGCAGAAGCCUGCCUGACUGUGUGGGUCCACCUGUAGCUGUGGAAGGACAGGGACUGCUGCAGGCUCUCUCAUGUGCUGGCUUCAGUGUCCUUCAUCUUACCAGCCCAACAGUUAGCUGUCCAUCUUUCACUUUCUUUCCAGUGUGGAGUUUCUUAAAGAGUUCCAGUAAUUCCUGUUUCGACACCAGGUAGCUAUCAUUGUUCACUUGUUGAUUUUCUGCGUUUUUUCUGUUCUGAGUCUCAGAAUCCGCAUUACAGCCCUCCUCCUCCUCAGGGACGCUGUCUUCUUCUGAACACGUCUGCCAAUCUUCCUCUUCGUCCUCCUGACAGUCCUCAUAUUUGCUGUCACCACUGUCACUUGCGGACUCCUCACUAAGCGAGAUCAAGUCUCUGUGUGGGAUUUCAUUCGCAUCCAAACUGGAGCUUUCAGACUCUGUUUUGUUGGUGUCUCCAGCAACACUGUCUACUUCCUCCUGAUGAAGUGACAGAAACCACAAAGCUUCAGACCUGUGUAACCGCACUUUACACACAGAGGCUAGUGAUGGAAGAACAGGAAAUACUAUGCUGGAGACCAGCAUAUGGGCAGGCAAGCACAUAGGUGGACAUCAGCAGAUGCCCCUAGCAGGGCAGACCUUCACUUCUGUUGCUCUGUUGCUGCAGAGCUAAGACUGAGCCCAGGGGCUUUUGCAUAUGAAGCAAGCAGUACACCAUCCCCAACCUUGUUCUGAUUUUAUAAUUGUUUUAAAUAUGUCAAAAAGUACCAAAGUCUUUUGAUCUUAAGUAAAAAAGAGCACAGACCCCUGUGUGUGAAAUUCA
Long non-coding RNA from Mus musculus (house mouse), 4018 nucleotides. RefSeq annotates it as predicted gene, 53946. The transcript is spliced from 2 exons. The record is from RefSeq and is a predicted model, not a curated record. Lineage: Eukaryota; Metazoa; Chordata; Mammalia; Rodentia; Muridae.